Molecule: long non-coding RNA, 1782 nt
Organism: Musca domestica (house fly)
Lineage: Eukaryota; Metazoa; Arthropoda; Insecta; Diptera; Muscidae
Exons: 2
Source: RefSeq, a predicted model, not a curated record
UUGAACGGUGGUGCCUGUGUAGUGGUAAUCAAUAGUAGUCGGCAGGCACUGAGUCGUCACCACCACAACUCUCGAGCCAAGCAAAUAACCAGUCCAUUGUCGUUCAUAUGACUGGUGGCUAGGUAACAGAUUGACAUGGCACACACACGAGGAGAAACAUCCAGUGUUGAAUUAACCUUUUUCCCUGGCCCUAUAAACGCAUUUAUUUUUUUGGCCUAGUGGAAUCAUUUGGAAAUCCUUAAAAGAACAAUGUACCUAUUUUGAUUACACAAUCGUUUAUAUGGACUCGGGGUUCAUGGUCCACCAGUCGUUGUUGUGAACACAUUUGUAUGUUUGGACAAAAGCAACUCUGUGUCUCAGUUGUGUAUUGCUAUGGAAAGAAUCGAUUCCACGGUAGCUUGUGUUUGUGUGUUUGCCUCGCUAUCUCUCAUUCCAUAGGCACACACACGUUCGCCAUAUAUAUACUCCGCUGGGCCUGGAAUCCAUGCGUUUACCAAAGUGGUGUGGUCGCCGCUGUCAUCAUUGUUUGUCGACAUCACCUUAGUCACAAUGGUAGCUUUGCCUUUACCAAAUCACCCAAAUGUCAUGCAAGAGCAGUGGAGAAGAAUAUAUACGCAGUAGCUAGCUGUAGCUUCAAUUGCGAAGUGGUUGUGUUUCUUCGUUGUAGUGGUGGUGGCUGUGGUUGUUAGUUAGCACAAGCACAGCAAAACAGCUCGGAAACGAGUGACGAACUGCUUCUUACCUAAGCACGUUUACGUUUUGUAUGGGAUUUUUUUGUUGCUAGAUUUUGUGUUGUUGUUGUUGCUGUUUCGAGCAGCUUGGCUGCUAGUAUUCCACGUCCAUGUUAUCUCAUGGUGAACCUCAAUGUAGAUAUUACUAUUCUUGCCAUAUAGCUAGCUGGUUGCUUGGUUGUUCGUCGUUUGUUUGUUUUCGUACUCCGCCAUGCCUGAUGUUUUGUAUAUCUUCGAUUUUAUUUUUUGCUCUUAAUUAUCGUUUUUUGUUUUGGUAUUUUCAUUCGUUGAAGAGGCAAUGUGAUGCUGAUGACAUAUUACCACAUAACAACUGUAAAACUAUUGUGGUGACACUCAACCAAUCUGGCCAAAAUGUGUCAAUUCCAUAAGAGAGUCGCCAAUUCGGUUUUUGGAAUUUUCCAUAUCAUAACCUCAAAUGCUGGGGAGUUUUGAGACCAAAAGAUUGGCUUAGCGGCAGACAUUUUUUUUGUGUGACAAGGCACUGAGGAUAAUAAAUCAGAAAGAAGAGAUUUAAUUGCUGUGCGCUAUGUCUUCCAUGUGGAGCGUAUUCCUUUUGAGGUUAUGUUCCUACCACCAUAUGAACUUGAUGCUGAGUUUUAGAAUCACUUUUUGCUAGUUUUUAGUGACAAUUCGAAGAAGUCUCCCAAAGUCGUAUACCAUAAUUUCACCUGGAAUUGAAGUAAAGCCAAGAGAAGUUUGAAAAUAAUUUCUCCAGAAGAACUGGAAUCAUGGCUCUCCCAAAAUCGUACACCAUGAUUUCACCUGGAGUUGAAGUAAAACCAAGAGAAGUUUGAAAAUAACUUCGCGACAAGAACUGAAAUCAUGGCUACAAAUUUUCAUGGCAAAAUAUAUAUCCGAAAAAGAAUUGGGCAUAGAAGGAGAUUUUUGGUUAAUGAUGAUAAAUAAUUUACAUGACCAAUCCCUAGGAAAUGUUCCAUCAAUGUUUUUAUUGGGAUAACACAUCAGUGCCCUAAAACAAGUAAAGACCUAACCAUGUUGAAUAAAAAAACUAAAUCCAUUUUAAGAUCUA